ACGUAGGUGGCAAGCGUUGUCCGGAUUUACUGGGUGUAAAGGGCGCGUAGGCGGGACUGCAAGUCAGAUGUGAAAUGUGGGGGCUUAACCUCCAAGCUGCAUUUGAAACUGUGGUUCUUGAGUAUCGGAGAGGCAGGCGGAAUUCCAAGUGUAGCGGUGAAAUGCGUAGAUAUUUGGAGGAACACCAGUGGCGAAGGCGGCCUGCUGGACGACAACUGACGCUGAGGCGCGAAAGCGUGGGGAGCAAACAG
This 251-nucleotide ribosomal RNA is filed under the name uncultured prokaryote. RNAcentral's name for it is "partial 16S rRNA". It matches the Rfam family "Bacterial small subunit ribosomal RNA", at positions 525 to 775 of the family's 1533-position model. The record is from RNAcentral.